This is a long non-coding RNA of Pseudophryne corroboree (corroboree frog), 357 nucleotides long. RefSeq lists it as uncharacterized. The record is from RefSeq and is a predicted model, not a curated record. NCBI's taxonomy places the organism in Eukaryota, Metazoa, Chordata, Amphibia, Anura, Myobatrachidae. The transcript has 3 exons.
UUGCAGACAUUUUUCUCUACAUAUUUUUCUGUACAUGAACAAAGAACAUUUCUUUAACCAGCAAACAUAGCAUAUUUAACUGAUGUUAAAUAAUCAAAAGCAAUGUCCUUCCAGGGAGCAGUUCAUGUCAACCUCUUCAUGCAGGCAUUGAAACAGGAGAUGACAAGUAUAUCAAGUCCUAAAGAUGAUCGGGAGUGGCAAAGCAUUUGCUGUUCUAAGUCACAAUAUGACAGCUGCAUUGGAGAUCAUGACAACAUAUUACAGCAAUAGGUUGUGCAUCCCAAUAGGUUAAACCUGUUUCAGUCUGAAUGCAUUAUGAAAUGAGACACUUUCACAGUAGAACAAAAUAAAACAUAU